GAUGAAGAACGCAGCGAAAUGCGAUACUUGGUGUGAAUUGCAGAAUCCCGUGAACCAUCGGGUCUUUGAACGCAAGUUGCGCCCGAAGCCAUUAGGCCGAGGGCACGCCUGCCUGGGCGUCACACGUCGUUGCCCCCCCAUCUACUCCUUCGGGAUUGCGGGGGGCGGAUGAUGGCCUCCCGUGCGCCUCGCCGCGCGGUUGGCAUAAAUGCCAAGUCCUCGGCGACGCACGCCACGACAAUCGGUGGUUGCGAAACCUCGGUUGCCCGUCGUGUGCGGUCGUCGCGCAUCGAGGGCUCGAAAAAAUUGCCGGGUUCCGGCUCGGCUUUCAACGCGACCCCAGGUCAGGCGGGGUUACCCGCUGAAUUUAAGCAUAUCAAUAAGCGGAGGA
Molecule: unclassified non-coding RNA, 391 nt
Filed under: soil metagenome
Description: partial contains 5.8S ribosomal RNA, internal transcribed spacer 2, and large subunit ribosomal RNA
Rfam family: 5.8S ribosomal RNA (bases 1-122)
Source: RNAcentral